This 529-nucleotide ribosomal RNA is filed under the name uncultured bacterium. Its description in RNAcentral is "bacterial SSU rRNA". It matches the Rfam family "Bacterial small subunit ribosomal RNA", at positions 8 to 518 of the family's 1533-position model. The record is from RNAcentral.
AGAGUUUGAUCCUGGCUUAGGAUGAACGCUAGCUACAGGCUUAACACAUGCAAGUCGAGGGGCAGCAUUGAGAUAGCUUGCUAUUCAGAUGGCGACCGGCGCACGGGUGAGUAACGCGUAUCCAACCUUCCCCUUAGUAGGGCAUAGCCCGUAGAAAUGCGGAUUAAUACCCUAUGUUGUAUAUUGAGGACAUCUGAUUUAUAACCAAAGGUUUACCGCGUAAGGGAGUGGGGAUGCGUCUGAUUAGGUUGUUGGCGGGGUAACGGCCCACCAAGCCUACGAUCAGUAGGGGUUCUGAGAGGAACGGUCCCCACAUUGGAACUGAGACACGGUCCAAACUCCGUACGGGAGGCAGCAGUGAGGAAUAUUGGUCAAUGGACGAGAGUCUGAACCAGCCAAGUAAGCGUGCAGGAUGACCGGCCCUAGUGGGUUAGUAAACUGUCUUUUAGUACGGGGAUAAAGUGAGGGACGUGUCCCUUUUGUAGGUACCGUAUGAAUAAGGACCGGCUAAUUCCGUGCCAGCAGCGGC